UACGAAGGGGGCUAGCGUUGCUCGGAAUCACUGGGCGUAAAGGGCGCGCAGGCGGUCUGGUAAGUUUGGAGUGACAGUGCUCGGCUUAACUGAGCAAGGCCUUCGAAAACUGCUAGACUUGAGCACUCAAGAGGGACAUAGAAUUCCGGGUGGAGUGGUGAAAUGCGUAGAUAUCCGGAGGAAUACCAAAGGCGAAGGCAGUGUCCUGGGGAGUGUCUGACGCUCAGGCGCGAAAGCUAGGGGAGCGAACAGG
RNAcentral lists this ribosomal RNA (253 nucleotides) under uncultured bacterium. Its description in RNAcentral is "partial 16S ribosomal RNA". It matches the Rfam family "Bacterial small subunit ribosomal RNA", at positions 524 to 776 of the family's 1533-position model. The record is from RNAcentral.